GACGAACGCUGGCGGCGUGCUUAACACAUGCAAGUCGAACGGUAAGGCUCCAGCUUGCUGGGGUACACGAGUGGCGAACGGGUGAGUAACACGUGGGUGACCUGCCCUGCACUUCGGGAUAAGCCUGGGAAACUGGGUCUAAUACCGGAUAGGACCAUGGUGUGGAUACUGUGGUGGAAAGUUUUUUCGGUGUGGGAUGGGCCCGCGGCCUAUCAGCUUGUUGGUGGGGUAAUGGCCUACCAAGGCGGCGACGGGUAGCCGGCCUGAGAGGGUGGACGGCCACAUUGGGACUGAGACACGGCCCAGACUCCUACGGGAGGCAGCAGUGGGGAAUAUUGCACAAUGGGCGGAAGCCUGAUGCAGCGACGCCGCGUGGGGGAUGACGGCCUUCGGGUUGUAAACUCCUUUCACCAUCGACGAAGGGUUUCUGACGGUAGAUGGGGAAGAAGCACCGGCUAACUACGUG
Molecule: ribosomal RNA, 466 nt
Filed under: uncultured bacterium
Lineage: Bacteria
Description: partial 16S ribosomal RNA
Rfam family: Bacterial small subunit ribosomal RNA
Source: RNAcentral